UCUUGUGAUGUGACAACUGUGGAAUAACAUUUGGUCACAAAGCUGGUGUUAACAAGCACAACUGGCACUCUGGUAAUUAGACUGAUUCCUGGUCUACUUUCACAGAUUGUCGAUAAAUGCAGUAAACAACAGGCUGCUUUCUCUCAGAAGAAGUUAUAUGAAGUUGUCAUCCAUUUGAUGACCUGCAUUAGUGGAAAUCUGAACUGUAGUUUGGUGUUUCCACCCUCAUGGCAGAGUAAGAAGGAAUGAGAGCUCCUUCCCUAGGCCCUGUACCUCCUCCAAGCCCACAGCCUGGCUCUGCACAUAGGAAAAUGUGUGAAUGCUGUAACUCUGUCUCCUCCACUUGAAAGCAGAAGAAUUUAAUCAACUGAGUUUUCUAGGUGUCAGACAAUCCUGGAGCCAAGAACCUCCAAACACGUUUCAUCCUCUGGUUUCCCUGAAACUUUAGUUACACCUUGAAGUUACUGGAAUACAUGUUCUGUUCAAGCAACCAUAUAUAAAAUUGCCUUGGGGAUCAGCUGAGACCUCGUGGAAGAAAUCUCAUUUGAAACAACAGGAAGGUACUUCACCUUGGCUCAAGCCACAGCACAACACAUGCCUUCUCCUCCUUCUCCAGCCCUGCUGUGAGUCAAAGGCAUUUUCAGAGCUGCUACUUUCCUGUGCUGAACAGCCUUGAGCCUCUUCCUGUUGCUCCAUCUU
RNAcentral lists this long non-coding RNA (699 nucleotides) under Lonchura striata (white-rumped munia). Its description in RNAcentral is "domestica (Bengalese finch) lncRNA (ENSLSDG00000010899.1)". Lineage: Eukaryota; Metazoa; Chordata; Aves; Passeriformes; Estrildidae. The record is from RNAcentral.